RNAcentral lists this long non-coding RNA (291 nucleotides) under Sorghum bicolor (sorghum). Its description in RNAcentral is "long non-coding RNA (SBIC_LNC004966)". Lineage: Eukaryota; Viridiplantae; Streptophyta; Magnoliopsida; Poales; Poaceae. The record is from RNAcentral.
CUGCUUAGAUCCAAAACUGUCCAGAUUUUCGUCACUGGAAACCAGUCAGAUUGAAAACUCGAUAUCUCACAAAUUAUAACUGCUAUGACAGAGUUCUUGGCGUCCAAAGAAAGAUGUUGAAGUCCUCUACAACUUUGUCCACAGACCCAAAAAUUAUUAAAGAAUCUAAAAUGCCCUAACAUUACGAUGAACACAUACUGCUCAGUCUGACGAGAAUUUCAGAACAUGAACGUAAAUGACUUCGAGAAUUUCUCCACUAAACCCAAUCCCAAAUAAGCGAUUUAAUCCGCA